AGUGGGAUAGCUUGGUCAAAUUGUGGUUUCAUUCCAAGUUUUCUAAGGAAUUUCUGUACUCCUUUCCAAAUUGGUUGCACCAAUUUGCAGUCCCACCAGCAAU
This 103-nucleotide microRNA precursor is filed under the name Marmota monax (woodchuck). Lineage: Eukaryota; Metazoa; Chordata; Mammalia; Rodentia; Sciuridae. The record is from RNAcentral.